AGUUAAUUAGCUUAAAUAAAGCGUAUGUUUUGAAAGCAUAAUUCAGAGGUUUAAACCUUCUAUUAACUU
Molecule: transfer RNA, 69 nt
Filed under: Paragnetina indentata
Lineage: Eukaryota; Metazoa; Arthropoda; Insecta; Plecoptera; Perlidae
Description: tRNA-Ser
Rfam family: tRNA
About the family: Transfer RNA (tRNA) molecules are approximately 80 nucleotides in length.
Source: RNAcentral